AGGAUCAUUGUCGAAAUCUGCAAAGCAGAAUGACUUGCGAACAAGUGCAAACCAUGGUUGAAAGGCACCACGGUCGCCUUUCCAACCGAUCAUUGGAGGCGGUUCCCGUCCCUCCCAUAUGGUCAAAAUCAACAAAUACCUCAGCGCGGAAUGCGCCAAGGAAAACAAACAUAAGGGGUACGCCUACGCCUCUUGCACCGUAAAUGGUUGUGUGGUGUGGCUUGCGUAUUUCGCUUAAUCUAAUGUUACAACGACUCUCGGCAACGGAUAUCUUGGCUCUCGCAUCGAUGAAGAACGUAGCAAAAUGCGAUAGCUGGUGUGAAUUGCAGAAUCCCGUGAACCAUCGAGUCUUUGAACGCAAGUUGCGCCUGAAGCCGUCAGGCCAAGGGCACGCCUGCCUGGGUGUCACCCUCCCCAUUGCCCAAGUAACACGCCUCCUCCCACCGAAAAUUGGGAAGGGGGUGCGAUGGGCGGAUAAAUGGCCUCCCAUGGUGCGUAAUUCGUGGUUGGCCCAAAAUUAGCACUUUGGCUUAGGACGCCACGACAUGCAUUGGUGAAAAACUCCGGUGAUUCCUUGUUGUCGUGCUAGACUUUGUAGCGUGCUAUAAAAUACCCUCGGUGCUUGCAUUCUAAGAUUUGCGACCCCAG
RNAcentral lists this ribosomal RNA (648 nucleotides) under Parnassia faberi. Its description in RNAcentral is "eukaryotic LSU rRNA". The stretch from base 253 to 408 matches the Rfam family "5.8S ribosomal RNA". Lineage: Eukaryota; Viridiplantae; Streptophyta; Magnoliopsida; Celastrales; Celastraceae. RNAcentral also lists the same sequence under 1 other name. The record is from RNAcentral.